AAAAUUUAUCAUAAUAUUUUACAAGAUAAAACUUGUUAGAAAAUUCAAAAGUCCAUAACAUUAUUUUUUAAGAUUUCACAUUAUUAUUUAUAAAUAGACUAUCCUAAUUUUCAUGAAUAAAAAUCCCCACAUUUCAAAGGGUUAUUAAGAUCUUAAAAAGAUAACUCAACAUCAUACAUCAUUAAUAAUAAUUAACUAAUUAAGAUAGUAGCAAGAUAUAUAUGAGUUGAAUAUGUUGCGAUUAAGUAAUUACUGUCAUGUAAGAAUCCAUCAUGUCUAUUAAAAAAAAA
This 290-nucleotide long non-coding RNA is filed under the name Musa acuminata (dwarf banana). Its description in RNAcentral is "long non-coding RNA (MACU_LNC007232)". Lineage: Eukaryota; Viridiplantae; Streptophyta; Magnoliopsida; Zingiberales; Musaceae. The record is from RNAcentral.